RNAcentral lists this ribosomal RNA (402 nucleotides) under uncultured prokaryote. RNAcentral describes it as "bacterial SSU rRNA". It matches the Rfam family "Bacterial small subunit ribosomal RNA", at positions 355 to 774 of the family's 1533-position model. The record is from RNAcentral.
UGGGGAAUAUUGGACAAUGGGCGAAAGCCUGAUCCAGCCAUGCCGCGUGAGUGAUGACGGCCUUAGGGUUGUAAAGCUCUUUCGACGGGGACGAUAAUGACGGUAACCGUAGAAGAAGCCCCGGCUAACUUCGUGCCAGCAGCCGCGGUAAUACGAAGGGGGCUAGCGUUGCUCGGAAUCACUGGGCGUAAAGCGCACGUAGGCGGAUCAUUAAGUCAGGGGUGAAAGCCUGGGGCUCAACUCCAGAACUGCCCUUGAUACUGAUGAUCUUGAGUCCGGAAGAGGUUGGUGGAACUCCGAGUGUAGAGGUGAAAUUCGUAGAUAUUCGGAAGAACACCAGUGGCGAAGGCGGCCAACUGGUCCGGUACUGACGCUGAGGUGCGAAAGCGUGGGGAGCAAACA